RNAcentral lists this ribosomal RNA (425 nucleotides) under uncultured bacterium. RNAcentral describes it as "bacterial SSU rRNA". It matches the Rfam family "Bacterial small subunit ribosomal RNA", at positions 356 to 773 of the family's 1533-position model. The record is from RNAcentral.
GGGGAAUUUUGGACAAUGGGGGCAACCCUGAUCCAGCCAUUCCGCGUGAGUGAAGAAGGCCUUCGGGUUGUAAAGCUCUUUCGGCAGGAACGAAACGGCGGGCUCUAACAUAGCCUGUCACUGACGGUACCUGAAGAAGAAGCACCGGCUAACUACGUGCCAGCAGCCGCGGUAAUACGUAGGGUGCGAGCGUUAAUCGGAAUUACUGGGCGUAAAGCGUGCGCAGGCGGUUCCAUAAGACAGAUGUGAAAUCCCCGGGCUUAACCUGGGAACUGCGUUUGUGACUGUGGGACUCGAGUGUGGCAGAGGGGGGUGGAAUUCCACGUGUAGCAGUGAAAUGCGUAGAGAUGUGGAGGAACACCGAUGGCGAAGGCAGCCCCCUGGGUCAACACUGACGCUCAUGCACGAAAGCGUGGGGAGCAAAC